This 73-nucleotide transfer RNA is filed under the name Stegodyphus mimosarum. It matches the Rfam family "tRNA". From Rfam's summary of the family: Transfer RNA (tRNA) molecules are approximately 80 nucleotides in length. Their secondary structure includes four short double-helical elements and three loops (D, anti-codon, and T loops). The record is from Rfam by way of RNAcentral. Lineage: Eukaryota; Metazoa; Arthropoda; Arachnida; Araneae; Eresidae.
GCCUUCGUGGUGCAGUGGUCAGCACACUCGGCGCGUAUUCGAGAGGUCCGUGGUUCGAGUCCCGGAUAAGACA